This 84-nucleotide transfer RNA is filed under the name Myxococcota bacterium. RNAcentral's name for it is "tRNA-Leu". It matches the Rfam family "tRNA". From Rfam's summary of the family: Transfer RNA (tRNA) molecules are approximately 80 nucleotides in length. Lineage: Bacteria; Pseudomonadati; Myxococcota. The record is from RNAcentral.
GCGAGGAUGGCGGAAUUGGUAGACGCGCCAGGUUGAGGGCCUGGUGGCCGAUAGGCCGUGAGGGUUCGAUUCCCUUUUCUCGCA